Molecule: ribosomal RNA, 18 nt
Filed under: Cornuvesica magnispora
Lineage: Eukaryota; Fungi; Ascomycota; Sordariomycetes; Ophiostomatales; Ophiostomataceae
Description: partial 26S ribosomal RNA
Source: RNAcentral
AAAAAUAGGCCUCAUCGU